CAGUCGCCGCGGGAAUACGGAGGGUGCAAGCGUUAUCCGGAUUCACUGGGUUUAAAGGGUGCGUAGGUGGGCAGGUAAGUCAGUGGUGAAAUCUCUGAGCUUAACUCAGAAACUGCCGUUGAUACUAUCUGUCUUGAAUAUAGUGGAGGUGAGCGGAAUAUGUCAUGUAGCGGUGAAAUGCUUAGAUAUGAUAUAGAACACCCAUUGCGAGGGCAGCUCGCUACGCUAUUAUUGACACUGAGGCACGAAAGCGUGGGGAUCAAACAGGAUUAGAUACCCCGGUAGUCCCUGUCUCUUAUAA
RNAcentral lists this ribosomal RNA (301 nucleotides) under uncultured bacterium. Its description in RNAcentral is "partial 16S ribosomal RNA". It matches the Rfam family "Bacterial small subunit ribosomal RNA", at positions 509 to 809 of the family's 1533-position model. The record is from RNAcentral.